AAACCAGCACCUCAAGUGGUCAGGAUGAUUAUUGGGCCUAAAGCAUCCGUAGCCGGCUCUGUAAGUUUUCGGUUAAAUCUGUACGCUUAACGUACAGGCUGCCGGGAAUACUGCAGAGCUAGGGAGUGGGAGAGGUAGACGGUACUCGGGAGGAAGUGGUAAAAUGCUUUGAUCUCUCGAUGACCACCUGUGGCGAAGACGGUCUACCAGAACACGUCCGACGGUGAGGGAUGAAAGCUGGGGGAGCAAACCGGAUUAGAAACCCGGGUAGUCC
RNAcentral lists this ribosomal RNA (274 nucleotides) under uncultured bacterium. RNAcentral describes it as "partial 16S ribosomal RNA". It matches the Rfam family "Archaeal small subunit ribosomal RNA", at positions 473 to 747 of the family's 1478-position model. The record is from RNAcentral.